Molecule: unclassified non-coding RNA, 377 nt
Filed under: uncultured bacterium
Lineage: Bacteria
Description: contains 16S-23S intergenic spacer region
Source: RNAcentral
UCCGGUUUGUCACCGGCAGUCCCAUUAGAGUGCCCAACUGAAUGUGGCAACUAAUGGCAAGGGUUGCGCUCGUUGCGGGACUUAACCCAACAUCUCACGACACGAGCUGACGACAGCCAUGCAGCACCUGUGCUGGCGCUCCGAAGAGGGGCCGAUGUUUCCACCGGCUUUACCCUGCAUGUCAAGCCCAGGUAAGGUUCUUCGCGUCGCAUCGAAUUAAACCACAUACUCCACCGCUUGUGCGGGCCCCCGUCAAUUCCUUUGAGUUUCAGCCUUGCGGCCGUACUCCCCAGGCGGGGCACUUAAUGCGUUAGCGGCGACACUCAGGGGGUCGCUCCCCCAAGCAUCUAGUGCCCAUCGUUUACGGCGUGGACUAC